AAUCGAACUCGGAGAUAGCUGGUUCUCCCCGAAAUAGCUUUAGGGCUAGCCUCAUGUUAGAUAUCCGGAGGUAAAGCACUGAAUGGCCUAGCGUCCGAGAGGAUAGCGAAGCCUAUCAAACUAAGAAUGCCGGAAUAUUGAUGCAUGGGAGUCAGACAGUGUGAGAUAAAUCUCAUUGUCAAAAGGGAAACAGCCCAGAUCUACAGCUAAGGUCCCAAAUUGUAUCUAAGUGGAAAACGAUGUGGAAAUACGCAGACAACCAGGAUGUUGGCUCAGAAGCAGCCACUCAUUUAAAGAGUGCGUAAUAGCUCACUGGUCGAGCGUCUCUGCGCGGAAAAUUUAACGGGGCUAAGAUACAAACCGAAGCUUAGGCUGCACUUUUAGUGCGGGGUAGGGGAGCGUUGUGUAAGCGGAGAAACAGUAGCGAAAGCGGCUGUGGAGUUUACAGAAGUGAGAAUGCCGGAAUGAGUAGCGCGAAUGAUGUGAGAAUCAUCAUGGCCGGAAACCUCAGGUUUUUGGAGGAAGGUUCGUCCGCUCCAAGUUAGGCGGGAGCUAAGGUGAGGCCGAAAGGCGUAGCCGAUGCACAGACGGUAGAGAUUCCGUCACCGCCAAAAGAGUUAAGCACAGGGACACAUAUGAAGUCUCAGAGCCGGGUGUUGGUUCCGGUAGAGAUCGAGGGAAGUUAGUACCGAAGUCUGAGAUGGAAGAUGGCGAGAAAAGCUGUGUGUAUUUCUGAGGUGCCCGUACCGCAAACCGACACAGGUAGGUAGGAAGAAGAUUCUAAGGCCAACGGGAGAAGGGUUGUUAAGGAACUCGGCAAGUUGACCCCGUAACUUCGGGAGAAGGGGUGCUUACGAAGGUAAGCCGCAGAGAAUAGGCCCAAGCGACUGUUUAGCAAAAACACAGCUCUAUGCUAAAUCGAAAGAUGACGUAUAUGGGGUGACACCUGCCCGGUGCUGGAAGGUUAAGAGGAGAUGUGAGAGCAUUGAAUUGAAGCCCCAGUAAACGGCGGCCGUAACUAUAACGGUCCUAAGGUAGCGAAAUUCCUUGUCGGGUAAGUUCCGACCCGCACGAAAGGUGUAACGAUUUGGGCACUGUCUCAACGAGGGACCCGGUGAAAUUGAAAUACCUGUGAAGAUGCAGGUUACCCGCGACUGGACAGAAAGACCCCAUGGAGCUUUACUGUAACCUGACAUUGGGUUUUGAUACAUUACGUACAGGAUAGGUGGGAGGCAUGGAAAGCUGGACGCUAGUCUGGCUGGAGCCGACGUUGGGAUACCACCCUUGAUGUAUUGAAAUUCUAACCGCGAGAGUAACGAAAUCCGGGACAGUGUCAGGCGGGCAGUUUGACUGGGGCGGUCGCCUCCGAAAGAGUAACGGAGGCGCCCAAAGGUUCCCUCAGCGCGGCCGGAAAUCGCGCGAAGAGUGUAAAGGCAGAAGGGAGCUUGACUGCGAGUCAAACACGACGAGCAGGUACGAAAGUAGGGCUUAGUGAUCCGGUGGUACCGAGUGGAAGGGCCAUCGCUCAACGGAUAAAAGCUACCCUGGGGAUAACAGGCUAAUCUCUCCCAAGAGUCCAUAUCGACGGGGAGGUUUGGCACCUCGAUGUCGGCUCAUCACAUCCUGGGGCUGAAGUCGGUCCCAAGGGUUGGGCUGUUCGCCCAUUAAAGUGGUACGUGAGCUGGGUUCAGAACGUCGUGAGACAGUUCGGUCCCUAUCCAUCGCGGGCGCAAGAGAUUUGAAGGGGGCUGCUCCUAGUACGAGAGGACCGGAGUGGACGAACCGCUGGUGUACCAAUUAUCCCGCCAGGGGUACAGUUGGGUAGCUACGUUCGGAAAGGAUAAACGCUGAAAGCAUCUAAGCGUGAAACCAGCCUUAAGAUGAGAUCUCUCAUAGAGCAAUCUAGU
Molecule: ribosomal RNA, 1907 nt
Filed under: human gut metagenome
Description: bacterial LSU rRNA
Rfam family: Bacterial large subunit ribosomal RNA
Source: RNAcentral